Molecule: ribosomal RNA, 472 nt
Filed under: uncultured bacterium
Lineage: Bacteria
Description: bacterial SSU rRNA
Rfam family: Bacterial small subunit ribosomal RNA
Source: RNAcentral
UCGGGAAUUUUGGACAAUGGGGGCAACCCUGAUCCAGCCAUUCCGCGUGAGUGAAGAAGGCCUUCGGGUUGUAAAGCUCUUUCGGACGGAACGAAACGGUUAGCGUGAAUAGCGCUGACUAAUGACGGUACCGUAAGAAGAAGCACCGGCUAACUACGUGCCAGCAGCCGCGGUAAUACGUAGGGUGCGAGCGUUAAUCGGAAUUACUGGGCGUAAAGCGUGCGCAGGCGGCGGCACAAGUCAGGUGUGAAAUCCCCGGGCUUAACCUGGGAAUUGCGCUUGAAACUAGGUCGCUUGAGUGUGGCAGAGGGGGGUGGAAUUCCACGUGUAGCAGUGAAAUGCGUAGAGAUGUGGAGGAACACCGAUGGCGAAGGCAGCCCCCUGGGUCAACACUGACGCUCAUGCACGAAAGCGUGGGGAGCAAACAGGAUUAGAUACCCCCGUAGUCCCUGAGCGGGCUGGCAAGGCGCAU